This 589-nucleotide ribosomal RNA is filed under the name Candidatus Babelota bacterium. RNAcentral's name for it is "bacterial SSU rRNA". It matches the Rfam family "Bacterial small subunit ribosomal RNA", at positions 1 to 566 of the family's 1533-position model. The record is from RNAcentral.
UCAUCGGAGAGUUUGAUCCUGGCUCAGGAUGAACGCUGGCGGCGUGCCUAACACAUGCAAGUCGAGCGAGAAAGAGGGGGCAACUCCUCGAGUAAAGCGGCGGACGGGUGAGUAAUGUAUAAGAAAGUUUCCAUUUAAUGGGGGAUAGCAUCUCGAAAGGGGUGGUAAUACCGCAUGUGUUCAAAUUGCGGCAUCGCGAUUUGAAUAAAGAUGGGGAUCGCAAGACCUAUCGUUAGAUGAGACCCUUAUAUCCUAUCAGCUAGUUGGUAAGGUAAUGGCUUACCAAGGCGACGACGGGUAGUUGGUCUGAGAGGAUGACCAGCCACACUGGGACUGAGACACGGCCCAGACUCCUACGGGAGGCAGCAGUGAGGAAUAUUGCGCAAUGGGCGAAAGCCUGACGCAGCGACGCCGCGUGGACGAUGAAGCCUUUAGGGGUGUAAAGUCCUUUCGACAGGGAAGAAUAAAUAUAAUAUUAAUAUGAUUAUAUGAUGACUGUACCUGUGGAAGAAGCCCCGGCUAACUACGUGCCAGCAGCCGCGGUAAUACGUAGGGGGCGAGCGUUAUCCGGAAUUACUGGGUGUAAAGG